GAUGAACGCUGGCGGCGUGCCUAAUACAUGCAAGUCGAACGCUGGAAAUCUAGCUUGCUAGAUUGAAGGAGUGGCGAACGGGUGAGUAAUACAUAAGCAACCUACCCACGAAGACUGGGAUAAUCUCUGGAAACGGGGACUAAUACCGGAUAGGUAAUCGGAAGGCAUCUUCUGAUUAUUAAAGGUUAAAAACACUGGUGGAUGGGCUUAUGGCGCAUUAGUUAGUUGGUGAGGUAACGGCCCACCAAGACGAUGAUGCGUAGCCGGCCUGAGAGGGUGAACGGCCACAUUGGGACUGAGACACGGCCCAGACUCCUACGGGAGGCAGCAGUAGGGAAUUUUCGGCAAUGGGGGAAACCCUGACCGAGCAACGCCGCGUGAGUGAUGACGGCCUUCGGGUUGUAAAGCUCUGUUGUAAGGGAAGAACGGUAGAUAGAGAAUAUCUAAAUGACGGUACCUUACCAGAAAGCCACGGCUAACCACGUG
Molecule: ribosomal RNA, 486 nt
Filed under: uncultured bacterium
Lineage: Bacteria
Description: partial 16S ribosomal RNA
Rfam family: Bacterial small subunit ribosomal RNA
Source: RNAcentral